RNAcentral lists this ribosomal RNA (475 nucleotides) under uncultured bacterium. RNAcentral describes it as "bacterial SSU rRNA". It matches the Rfam family "Bacterial small subunit ribosomal RNA", at positions 32 to 507 of the family's 1533-position model. The record is from RNAcentral.
GACGCUGGCGGCGUGCCUAACACAUGCAAGUCAACUUGACUGAAGGAGCAAUCUGACAGUAGAGUGGCGCAAGGGUGCGUAACGCGUAAGUAACUUGCCCAAGGUAAGGAAUAACGUCGAGAAAUCGGCGCUAAUACCUCAUAAUGCAGCGGAUCCGCAUGGAUAUGUUGUUAAAGGUUUACCGCCUUGGGAUAGGCUUGCGUCUGAUUAGCUAGUUGGUGUGGUAACGGCACACCAAGGCUACGAUCAGUAACUGGUCUGAGAGGAUGAUCAGUCACACUGGAACUGAGACACGGUCCAGACUCCUACGGGAGGCAGCAGUGAGGAAUAUUGGGCAAUGCUCGAAAGAGUGACCCAGCAACGCCGCGUGGAGGAUGAAGGUAUUCUAUAUCGUAAACUCCUGUGAGAGCAGACGAAAGACAGAUUAUUAAUCUGGAUGACUGUAUGCUCAGAGGAAGCCCCGGCUAACUACGUG